CCAAUAGCGUAUAUUAAAGUUGUUGCAGUUAAAAAGCUCGUAGUUGAAUUUCGGGGUUCUACCGUUGGUCGGGCAAUUGUCUGUACUGGCGUGUGGAAUUUCUACCUUCUGGGGAGCCAUCAUGUUAUUAAUUUAGCGUGGUGGGAAACCAGGACCUUUACCUUGAAAAAAUUAGAGUGUUCAAAGCAGGCUUACGUCUGAAUACAUUAGCAUGGAAUAAUAAACUAGGACGGUGGUCCUGUUUUGUUGGUUUCUGAAUCACCGUAAUGAUUAAUAGGGAUAGUUGGGGGGAUUAGUAUUCAAGUGUCAGAGGUGAAAUUCUUGGAUUUAUUGAAGACUAACUUCUGCGAAAGCAUUUGCCAAGGAUGUUUUCAUUAAUCAAGAACGAAAGUUAGGGGAUCGAAGACGAUCAGAUACCGUCGUAGUCUUAACCAUAAACUAUGCCGACUAGGGAUCGGACGAUGUUAAUUUUUCUUGACUCGUUCGGCGCCUUACG
RNAcentral lists this ribosomal RNA (496 nucleotides) under uncultured Glomeromycotina. Its description in RNAcentral is "partial small subunit ribosomal RNA". It matches the Rfam family "Eukaryotic small subunit ribosomal RNA", at positions 591 to 1092 of the family's 1831-position model. Lineage: Eukaryota; Fungi; Glomeromycota. The record is from RNAcentral.